CCUACGGGAGGCAGCAGUGAGGAAUAUUGGUCAAUGGGCGCGAGCCUGAACCAGCGACGCCGCGUGGAGGAUGAAGGUUUUCGGAUUGUAAACUCCUUUUGUUAGAGAAGAUAAUGACGGUAUCUAACGAAUAAGCACCGGCUAACUCCGUACCAGCAGCCGCGGUAAUACGGAGGGUGCAAGCGUUACUCGGAAUCACUGGGCGUAAAGAGCGCGUAGGCGGGAUAGCAAGUCAGAUGUGAAAUCCUAUGGCUUAACCAUAGAACUGCAUUUGAAACUGUUAUUCUAGAGUAUGGGAGAGGGAG
Molecule: ribosomal RNA, 305 nt
Filed under: uncultured bacterium
Lineage: Bacteria
Description: bacterial SSU rRNA
Rfam family: Bacterial small subunit ribosomal RNA
Source: RNAcentral